Molecule: long non-coding RNA, 467 nt
Filed under: Trifolium pratense (red clover)
Lineage: Eukaryota; Viridiplantae; Streptophyta; Magnoliopsida; Fabales; Fabaceae
Description: long non-coding RNA (TPRA_LNC014059)
Source: RNAcentral
AAGAAGUGCAAGGAUACAAUUACAAGUGGACUUAAAAAGAAAAAGGAAACAAGGCGGUCCAAUUGGAAAAGAGGAGCAGAGAGUUAAGUGUGCAAGUUGCAGAGACACCACCGUUUUGCUUUCUUAUUAAGACUAUGUUUGGAUUGAUGGUACAUAACGGAAUGGAGCGGAAUGGAACAUAAUGGAAUGGAAUGGAGCGGAACGGAAUGGAACACAAAUUCCAUUCCAUUGUUUGGAUAUUCAAUGAUGGAAUUAAACAAAAUUACCACUCCGUUGUUUGGGAAGUGAACGGAAUAGAAUAAAAUAUAACAUUUUUAUUCCAAUUUUACCCUUAUUGUAAAACAAAGUUAAUCUAGCAUAGCAGCUAAUAUAUUUUCAGUUUCCAGAUCCAUCUAAUAAUAUUAGCCAAAAACAAAGUUAAAAACACUAGAAUUCUAGCAUUAUACGAACUGAUUCAAAGCUAUANN